AACGAACGCUGGCGGCAUGCCUAACACAUGCAAGUCGAACGAGACCUUCGGGUCUAGUGGCGCACGGGUGCGUAACGCGUGGGAACCUGCCCUUAGGUUCGGAAUAACUCCCCGAAAGGGGUGCUAAUACCGGAUAAUGUCUUCGGACCAAAGAUUUAUCGCCUUUGGAUGGGCCCGCGUUGGAUUAGCUAGUUGGUAGGGUAAAAGCCUACCAAGGCGACGAUCCAUAGCUGGUCUGAGAGGAUGAUCAGCCACACUGGGACUGAGACACGGCCCAGACUCCUACGGGAGGGAGCAGUGGGUAAUAUUGGACAAUGGGCGAAGUCCUGAUCCAGCAAUGCCGGGUGAGUUAUGAAGGCCUGAGGGUUGUAAAGCUCUUUUACCCGGGAUGAUAAUGACAGUACCGGGAGAAUAAGCUCCGGCUAACUCCGUG
This 433-nucleotide ribosomal RNA is filed under the name uncultured bacterium. RNAcentral's name for it is "partial 16S ribosomal RNA". It matches the Rfam family "Bacterial small subunit ribosomal RNA", at positions 29 to 507 of the family's 1533-position model. The record is from RNAcentral.